GCUGGGCGUGGUGGUGAGCACCUGUAAUCCAAGCUACUGGGAGGCUGAGGCAGGAGAAUUGCUUGAACCCGGGAGGUAGAGGUUGCAGUGAGCAGAGAUCACACCACUGCCACUGCACUCUAGCCUGGGUAACAGAGUGAGACUCUGUCCCAA
Molecule: unclassified non-coding RNA, 153 nt
Organism: Callithrix jacchus (white-tufted-ear marmoset)
Lineage: Eukaryota; Metazoa; Chordata; Mammalia; Primates; Cebidae
Rfam family: Metazoan signal recognition particle RNA
About the family: The signal recognition particle (SRP) is a universally conserved ribonucleoprotein. It is involved in the co-translational targeting of proteins to membranes.
Source: Ensembl